This 501-nucleotide ribosomal RNA is filed under the name uncultured bacterium. RNAcentral describes it as "bacterial SSU rRNA". It matches the Rfam family "Bacterial small subunit ribosomal RNA", at positions 49 to 627 of the family's 1533-position model. The record is from RNAcentral.
UAACACAUGCAAGCUUAAUCAUCAUGUUCUUCUAUAUAAAGAUAGCAAACGGGUGAGUAUGGCGUACAAACUAACCUAGAAAUUUAGUUAAAAACUUCAAAAUUUAUUUGUUUUUAGAAAGGUCUACGUAAAAUUAAGUACUUGGUUAGAUUAAAUCCUUACCAAGCUUAUGAUUUUUAGUUGGUCUAUGAGGAUGAACAGCCACAUUGGAAUUGAGAUAUGGUCCAAACUCUAUAUUAAGAGGCAGCAGUGGGGAAUAUUGGGCAAUGAAUAAUAGUUUGACCCAGCUAAGUCAUGUGUAUGAUGAAGAUGUUUGAUUGUAAAGUACUUUUGUGAGUUAUAAUAAUGAUUGAUUUUUGAAUAAACCCUGGCUAAUUUCGUGCCAGCAGCCGCGGUAAAACGAGAAGGGUUAGUGUUAUUCAGAUUAACUGGGCGUAAAGUAUAUGUAGGCGGAAAAUUAACUAGUGAUCUACAUCUUUAAUUUUAUUUUUAAAGGCAUCA